GGGGAGGCAGCUGUUAACGUGUGUGUGUGUUGUACAGGAUGCCUUUCAUUCCAGCUGACCCAGAGGGAAUUAGCAUCUCAUGACCCUGAUCCAGUGUCUCACAAGAGCUAGAUUCUUCAUCAUGUAAUGUGUUCACUGCUUAUGACGUGCUUUCUGUGACGGUGUGCCCAGAGGCUUUCGUCCUCCCCAGAUGCCACUCAGUGUCAACCAUCAAGACACCUAUUUUGAGAGAGAUCAAGCAAAGAGACUGUACCUUGGAAGGCUGUCAGGGCCCAAUGGUGAUUACAGGGACUCUGUUACCAAGCACCGAACGCUUUGCUGUUCUCCCUGCUACAUAGGUAAGGGUUGUAUGCAGGGUUGGGGUGGGGAAGCAGGAACUUUACAUGACUCUUCCAAAGUCACCCCACGUAAGCAAGGGAGAGAGGGGAAUCAAUAUGGACUGCCGCUAGACUGUCAGACCCAAUUCACCCAACGUGUAUCAAUUUAAAGCCAUAAAAUCUGGGUAAGAGAAGAGUUUGCCAAAAUGACAGGCUGGGUUUUUUUAAUCUUCUAUAUCGUAUUUCCUGGCCCGACUCCUCCAAGAACUGUCCCUGUUCUGAGCUUCCGUAUCCUAGAAGGAAAUCCACCUGCCAGAAAGACAGGCCUUCACCCAGGGUGACUCUCCAAAUGUGGUAAAGGUUAUUUAUGUAAAAGAUCAUUGCAUUGUGCUUUGGCAUGCAAAAAGUUGCUUUCUCCCCAAGAUACAGAAACUCCCUCCAGUUAUAGAUCAAAACAGAAGGUGUCGACUGGGCUCUCAAACACCCAUUUCCAACAACUUCGGUUCAGAAAAUAAUGUUCUGACUUCAUGUUCCUCUGAGUGCCCUCCUCUGUUGGCUUCUCUGAGUCUCAGUGAUCUUUGCUUCUAUACUGUCCGAACACCUCUGCAUGGGGGUGGGGCAAGCUCAUCCAGUCUUGAGGGAGGGGAAGAGUAAGCAGCCUGUCACAGGGUGAGAAACUCUCCAUCAGACAGAACGUUCUCACAUGUGGAUUGUGAAUCUGUGGAUCCAGGCUCCUCCUUCUAGAUCCAGGGGGCCCACUGGUUUUCAGAGCCUCUUUUUGACUCCCACCUCCAGCAAACAUCCUCUAGGGCAGCCAAGCACAGCAGGAACCUGCCCCUAACAACCACCUGGGGUCAGUCAGUGGCUCUCAGGAGUGUGGGCUAUGCUGUUUAACUCCACUCCUGGCCUCAUUGGGGACAGCUUUGUU
Molecule: non-coding RNA, 1245 nt
Organism: Rattus norvegicus (Norway rat)
Lineage: Eukaryota; Metazoa; Chordata; Mammalia; Rodentia; Muridae
Source: RefSeq, a predicted model, not a curated record